Molecule: long non-coding RNA, 605 nt
Filed under: Mytilus galloprovincialis (Mediterranean mussel)
Lineage: Eukaryota; Metazoa; Mollusca; Bivalvia; Mytilida; Mytilidae
Source: RNAcentral
GACUUGUAUGUAUAAUUUUUGUAUACACUGUAGCUGUGCUCUUUGCGCAGUCAAAUUGCAUUGACUGUAUAAUCAUUUCUUAUCAUUUUUUUAUGUACAGUCACUGACUGUAUAUAUUUCUCCCUUUUUAUGAUAAUAAGCUGGUUCUCGGCUGACUACUUCACUUUGUUCAUCAGUUUCAGUGAAGCGUAAUACAAGUGGAUUCCAGUUUUCUGUGACCGGUUGACAAUUCGUUUCCGUUGAGUUUUAUUUAUGACGUCAUUCCCGGAAUUUUUACGUCAUUCGCUCCAAAUUCAAUAAUGAUGGUUUUUAUCCUAAAUAUUUCAUCUGGAACCAUAUAUUUAGAAUGACCAUGAAUUUGCCAUAUUAGAAUAGAAAUAAUUCAUUGAGUUAUUUUUAGACAUGGUAUUCCCCAUCUGCCAUGGUAUUUGCUAGGGCAUUUCCCAUCUGCCAUGGUAUUUGCUAGCAAAUACCCCGGUACAUGGAAUUCCCUAAUGGCAAAUACCCCGGCAGAGAAAAGAAAAUCUCAAUAUAUAGAAAUUGGUGAAAAAUACCAUGUUUCUCAUCCAAUCAAAAUACAGCAUUAUUACAUAAGGUGGAAUUAU